GGCUCCGUAGUUCAAUGGAUAGAAUUUGAGAUUCCGGUUCUUACGAUGAAGGUUCGAAUCCUUUCGGAGUCA
Molecule: transfer RNA, 72 nt
Filed under: Alistipes sp.
Lineage: Bacteria; Pseudomonadati; Bacteroidota; Bacteroidia; Bacteroidales; Rikenellaceae
Description: tRNA-Arg
Rfam family: tRNA
About the family: Transfer RNA (tRNA) molecules are approximately 80 nucleotides in length. Their secondary structure includes four short double-helical elements and three loops (D, anti-codon, and T loops). Further hydrogen bonds mediate the characteristic L-shaped molecular structure. tRNAs have two regions of fundamental functional importance: the anti-codon, which is responsible for specific mRNA codon recognition, and the 3' end, to which the tRNAs corresponding amino acid is attached (by aminoacyl-tRNA synthetases). tRNAs cope with the degeneracy of the genetic code in two manners: having more than one tRNA (with a specific anti-codon) for a particular amino acid; and 'wobble' base-pairing, i.e. permitting non-standard base-pairing at the 3rd anti-codon position.
Source: RNAcentral